AACGAACGCUGGCGGCGUGGAUAAGACAUGCAAGUCGAACGGGACUAAAUCCGUAGCAAUACAGGUUUAGUUUAGUGGCGAACGGGUGCGUAACACGUGGGCAAUCUGCCGAGAAGUGGGGGAUAGCUCGCCGAAAGGCGAAUUAAUACCGCAUAUGAUCAGUGAAGACAUCUUCACGACAUCAAAGCCGGGGCAACCUGGCGCUUCUUGAUGAGCCCGCGGCCAUCAGCUAGUUGGUGAGGUAACGGCUCACCAAGGCUAUGACGGGUAGCUGGUCUGAGAGGACGACCAGUCACACUGGAACUGAGACACGGUCCAGACACCUACGGGUGCAGCA
This 337-nucleotide ribosomal RNA is filed under the name uncultured bacterium. RNAcentral describes it as "bacterial SSU rRNA". It matches the Rfam family "Bacterial small subunit ribosomal RNA", at positions 29 to 353 of the family's 1533-position model. The record is from RNAcentral.